This 200-nucleotide ribosomal RNA is filed under the name uncultured bacterium. RNAcentral's name for it is "partial 16S ribosomal RNA". It matches the Rfam family "Bacterial small subunit ribosomal RNA", at positions 403 to 605 of the family's 1533-position model. The record is from RNAcentral.
GGGGGAUGAAGGUCUUCGGAUUGUAAACCCCUUUCGGGAGGGAAGAUGGGACGGGCAACCGUUCGGACGGUACCUCCAGAAGCAGCCACGGCUAACUUCGUGCCAGCAGCCGCGGUAAUACGAAGGUGGCAAGCGUUGUUCGGAUUUACUGGGCGUACAGGGAGCGUAGGCGGUUAGGUAAGCCCUUCGGGAAAUCUCCC